UAUCAAAGAACAUUAAUCCAAAAUUUGUAGGAGGACGCUUAUAUUUGAAUGCAAUUUCAGGGACCAAUUUCCACUUCGACAAAGAACUUCGGUGAGGAUGGUGUCACCAGCUCUGCAAGUUAUACCAAAUAUGGAGAUG
Long non-coding RNA from Brassica oleracea var. oleracea, 139 nucleotides. RefSeq lists it as uncharacterized. The record is from RefSeq and is a predicted model, not a curated record. Lineage: Eukaryota; Viridiplantae; Streptophyta; Magnoliopsida; Brassicales; Brassicaceae. The transcript has 3 exons.